RNAcentral lists this long non-coding RNA (2869 nucleotides) under Ananas comosus (pineapple). Its description in RNAcentral is "long non-coding RNA (ACOM_LNC040463)". The record is from RNAcentral. Lineage: Eukaryota; Viridiplantae; Streptophyta; Magnoliopsida; Poales; Bromeliaceae.
UACCCACCUUUAAAAAUUUUAGGAAAAACUUCAAAAACAUCCCUGUGGUUUCGUGAAUUCUCAUUUUGCUACCAUGUAGUUUAAAACGUAUCAUUUUGCCCCCCUGUGGUUUCGUUUUUAUCUUUUUGUUAUCAACUUUAUUAUUAUUAUUUUUUAAAAUCAGUGACAAAGUUAAAAUUAAAGGAUACUAAAGUGACUAUUCGAUAAAUAUAGAUGGUUAUCUGAAGUUUUUUGUAUAUAAUUUAACGAAAUAUUAACGAAAAAGCUUCCGAAAAGAUAAAAAUGAAACCACAGGGGGGUAAAUUGAUACGUUUUAAACCACAGAGUAGCAAAGUGAGAAUGCACGAAACCACAGGGGGGUUUUUGAAGUUUUCCCAAAAUUUUAAUUUAAUUAUCUCAUUUUUUAAUGUUUUGGAAUUAACUUGUCGCCGUAAGAAAAAUUGGAAGCACCGUUCUCAGGGACGGAACUACGGAAGCUAUGCGGAGGCCCUAGGUGGGAUUUUUUUAUAAACUAAUUCUUUAGUUACCGUUUGGUUCGGGAUUAAGUAGAAAAUAGUUAUUCCAAGAAUAGAGUUAAGUUCAAGAUUAAGGUGAGAUUAAAGUAAUUUUGUGUUUGGUUGAGCAUUGGUUUUAGUCCAAGUAUAAAUAAAAUAGUGUUUGAUUGGAGUAAAUAGGAUAAGAAGGAUAGUGGAUUAUUAUAAAUAAAAAAUAAUAAUUUUGCUUCAAUUUUUAUAUUUAAAUUUAAAUUUUAAAUUAAAAUAAUUAAAAAUAAUAAUUUUAAAUUUUGAAUAGGGGUGGGAUUAAGUUAAUCCCACAACCUAUUCCUCGGGUGGGGCCCCCCAAUUGGGUGUUUGGGAAUAACUUCGGGGUUAAGGGGUUAUUCCCUCCCUUAACCCCGAAACAAACAGUGGCUUAGAAUUUUAAAAUUUAUAAAAUAAUUUUUUCAAAAUUAUAUUUGUAAAGCUAAUCCUCUUUUCGCCGCGUUGAGAAAUUUUUUUUUUAUGAAAUCUUACUAAUAUAUAAUUAGCAAAGACGAUAAAUGGUUCAUCGUAUUUUGCUUAUUUAAUAUUAUUUUCUAUAUCCCAUAUAUAAUCUUAACAACUGCAUAAAAAUUAUAACAAAACCAAUAUAAUUUUAGCAACCUAAAAAUUCUAAUAAUCUAUCUAUAUAAUACUAACAAUCAAAUAAAAAUUCUAAUAAUCCAUGUAUAAUCCUAAAAAGCUCACUUUUUUUAUUUUUCAUCUAACAAACUCAUAUUUUUCUGUAUGUGAAUUAUAUAAAAAAAUAGAAAAAAGUGAGGUGGUUAGAUGAAGAAUAGAAAAAAGUGAGGUUGUUAAGAUUAUGUGGAUUAUGAAAAAUAGAAAAAAAAUAAGGUUAUUAGAUGAAAAUUUUUUCUCUAUGUGGAUUACAUAAAAAAAUAGAAAAAAGUGAGGUUGUUAGAUGAAGAAUAGAAAAAAGUGAGGUUGCUAAGAUUACGUGGAUUAUGAAAAAUAGAAAAAAAAUAAGGUUAUUGGUUGAAAAAUAGGAAAAAGUGAGAUUGUUAGAUGAAAAAUAGAAAAAAAUGAGGUUGUUAAGAUUAUGUGGAUUAUGAAAAAUAGAAAAAAAAAAAGGUUAUUAGAUGAAAAAUAGGAAAAAGUGAGGUUUUUAGUAUGGUAAGAUUAUUGAAAUUUUUAUUUGAUUGUUAGAAUUAUAUGGAUAGAUUAUUAGAAUUUUUAAGUUGUUAAGAUUAUAUGUGAUUUGUUGUAAUUUUUAUAUUAAAACUAUAUGGAUAGAUUACUAUAAUUUUUAGAUUGUUAAGAUUAUACGUGAUUUAUUGUAAUUUUUAUGUAAUUGUUAAGAUUAUAUAUCGGAUAUAGAAAAAAUAUUAAAUAAGAAAAAGACGGUGAACUAUUCACCAUCUUUGCUAAUUAUAUUAGUAAGACGAUGAAUCGUUUACAGUCUUACUGAAGGCGGUAAACGAUUCACCGUCUAUGUAAAAAAAAUCCACCCCUAUUCUUACAUGGUGAAAGGAGAGUUAGUUUUACAAAUAUAAUCUUGGAAGAAUUAUUUCGUAAAUUUUAAAAUUCUAGAGGAUUAGUUUAUUAAAAAGUCUUUUUGAAGAUUUGAAGGGGAGCCAGCUGCUUCCGGAUAAUUAGUCAUUGCUGCUGUCACAACUAUCUUAAUUAUGAGAAUCAUGUUACCUGUUUAUUUUUUAAAAAAAUAAACUUAAUUAAAAAUAUAAAUUAACUAAAAUUCGAAUUUGAAAUUUUGAAUACCAGCCACUUUGCCACUUACAAUAAGAACAGUCGUUGUCAUCGACUUGCGGUUACUUUCAAUAAUCGGGAGAUCCAGAGUUAGAAGAAAUUCGUAUUUUGUAUGUAGCAUGUCCUACUUGCCAAUCCACUUGCAUGAUUUUAUAUCUAUACUAUAUAUAAAAGCACGUAUAUUCAAAUUUGGGUCUGUCGACAGACCCAUUUUUCGACGGAAAAAUUAGCGCCCAUUUUUCUCUUUCCGUACGAAAAAUUUUAAAUAUAAGAAUAAAAAUAGAAAUAGAAACAGCAAUGUAAGUUCUCUAUAACAGACUAUUUAAUUUCAAAAGUAAUUUUUCUAUAAGAGAUUACAGGUUGAAAAUCCUAUAAAAGAUAUUUUCCUAUUUUAUUUUAAAAUAUCUUUUUUAGAUAUUAUCUAUUUAAUUUCAAAAUAUAUUUUCUUUUUAAGAUAACGGAUUUUAUUUUUCUAUUUAAUUUCAAAAUUUUAUUUCAGAUUUUAAUUUUCUAUUUAAUUUCAAAAGUAAUUUUUGCAUUAGAGAUUAUUAUUAAUUAUUUAUCAUUUAAAGCAUAUCUUUCUUAAUAGCGUGAUUUAUUAUUUUAAAUUUUUUAGAUACAUAUUU